CCACAACUCCCGCAGGAAAGCCUAAGGAAUAAUGCCCAUGGAGGACUGUAAUAAAGGCAUAGUCCCACAGAGUCUCUCUCUUUCUCUGUCUCUUGACCCCCACUCGCUGGCUGAGCUCCCUGUCACCUGAACUUCCCAUAGGCCUCCUGUUGGCACUCUUAUCUCUGGGACAUGAUCCCUUCGUUUGAGGUAGGAUAUGGAAUCGCAUCCACUCUGAUUUGUUGCCAGCAGUGUUCUCCAACUUAAUUAUCCUCUGUGAUCCACACUAAAGUAUUUUGAAGAAUAACAAAGCUCUCCAAGGGUCUUAAUACAGUUCUGGAGGUCAGUAAGUCCAAUAUCAAGGUGCCAGCAUCAGGCAUUAUGGCCAGCACACUUCCUGCGAAUUUGUACCACCACCCCUUAUCUCAUCUAUGCUUCUGCUCACAGCACUGCACUGGAGCCAGGGGAUGGAUACCUGGCACUUGUAUGUCCUAUGAAGAAAGAGAGGAGGAUACAUUGCUUCCCUAUGUAUCCUUAAGGGAUAGACCAGAGGAAAAGUUAAGUAAUAGAUAAACAAUCAAUAAUACCUAAUUGGUUUCCCAAUCAAUUAGCACUUACUGUGUUGGAUUUGUUCACUUUCAGCCAUAGUUACACCUUGAAUUUCUGUAUUUCCAAAGUGGGCUCUUUUUUUUCUAAGGAAUUUCCUCAAUUUUUUCGUGUAAGUAGGCUUCUGAGGAGUCUAUUUCACUGAUUUUUGUGAUAUAUUUAAUCAUUCCAGGGCUACAAAAUUUAAGCUGAAUUUAAAUUAUUCAUAAUAUAACAAUCUCUCUUCCUCUGUCUCUCUUUCUUUCUAUAUCUUUCAUUACAUAUAUGUAAUAAAAUAUUUUCAUUAUAUAUCUGUAUAUCUUUUAUAGAAAUCUUUUCAUUAUAUAUUUCAUAUAUAUUCAUGUAUCUUUCAUACAUU
RNAcentral lists this long non-coding RNA (943 nucleotides) under Homo sapiens (human). RNAcentral describes it as "HSALNT0112411". The record is from RNAcentral. Lineage: Eukaryota; Metazoa; Chordata; Mammalia; Primates; Hominidae.